UGGGAAGGGAAGAGGUGCAGGGUCAGUGGAAGGAAGUACGAGGCUGCAACAGGAGACGAGGGCUGACACAGAUGGUCCUAAAGACGGAAAUGGUGGUAGGAGACAUAAAUGCAAAAGAGUAAACGCAUGGGAGCAGCAGUGAGGGGGCAGUGGGGGCCAUGUGAUCCAAGCACCUGUGCUUUUGGACUGCCUCCGUCACCUAACCGUGACCUCCAGAUUGGGCUACACUGAAUACUCGUCCAGAGUGUUUGGGGUGGACCAGACUCUUCACGAAUAGCAUCUUUGAAUGUGAACAAGAGCAACAAAACAUCAGAUCAUGGCUCAAAUGACUGAGAAAGCCUCAUGAAGGAAGAAACCCUUGGGAAGGUCCAUGAACAGAGAUCCUGAUAUGGAAUACGGAACUAAUAGGCCACCACCAGCCGGAAGAGUUCGGGAAAGAUCGAGAGGAGACACUACCUGUCCGUCCACUUCCCAGAAUCCCUCUUGCUAGCAUCCAUCUUGGCUGAGCGAUGCGUGCGCCACCAGGAAAGACUCUGAAUUAGAAUGAUUGGCCAAAGACCACCCGGAAACUAAUCCCAUCACCAUAAAACCCAAGACUGCGAGCCACGCGGCAGAGCAGUUCUCCUGGGUUCCCUUACCUACUGCUCUCCACCCGGGUGCCCUUUCCCAAUAAAAUCUCUUGCUUUGUCAGCAUGUGUCUCCUCGGACAAUUCAUUUCCGAGUGUUAGACAAGAGCCCAGUUUCGGGCCCUGGAAGGGGUCCCCCUUCCUACAACAACUGGCGACCACGAAGGGACAUCUUCUUCGCUGAGACUGACGUCCUGACCACUCGGGGUUCUCAGGGGCCAGCUUGCCUGCCAAUGGACCAGACCCAGCGGCCGCAACUGGGACCCUUUUGUCCCUGGUCUCCUCCUGACGCGGACAACUGGCCAGAGUGCCCCGACCGGUAAGGAACAAGAGACUUUAUUGACCUCCCUCCUCUUCCCCCUCUCUUUCCUCUCCUUAGCCCUUCCUAUCCUUCCCGUUUUUCUAGUCCCCCGGUCCUGGACGCAGGAAUCUGGUCGAAGGGCCUCAGCUUAAGCUGAGGAUUGGAGACUGAUCACCUCCUCUUGGCAGAGAACUCGAAUUCUGGUUCUGGUAGGGCCGAGUUCCAGUCCUCCCUUCUCUGGAAGCCCAGGGAAAAGUCCCGUAACGCCUGGGUGUCUGCAGGUGGCAGGAGACGUCUGUAAGGCCACCCCUUUUUUUUCUCUCUCUCCCCCACUCCUAGA
Long non-coding RNA from Dama dama (fallow deer), 1267 nucleotides. RefSeq lists it as uncharacterized. The transcript is spliced from 4 exons. The record is from RefSeq and is a predicted model, not a curated record. NCBI's taxonomy places the organism in Eukaryota, Metazoa, Chordata, Mammalia, Artiodactyla, Cervidae.